UAUGAUAUUCCCUUGUCUCCAAAGUCAGUCUGUACAUGUGGCAUCUCAGUUGACAAAUGUCUCUGUAAAGAUCUGAAUUUCAGUCUGAUUCACUUGUGUGUCAGUGUUCUAAACCUUACUGCUGUGAUGCCGUCACACCCUGAGUCCUUCACCCACUCCCUUCAUCCUCUCCCAGGAUCCUGUCUAUGGAGUGCAACAAAACCUCCUAGGCCUCUGCUUUUUCUGUAUUCUAAAAUCCCAUCAGUAUCUGUGCACAUCAACAAUCUCCAGGAGGUGAAAAGUAUUCAGAGAUAAUUCCUUCUUUCACUGUCUGACAACCCCUGAGCUCUGUUUUACAUUUCAAACUCUUGUAUCUUGCCGUUUGAGAGUAUUUAUUCGCUUUUUGAUCUGUUGUUUUGAAAUUCCUUUCGUUUUUCUGCUGUUUUUCUUUUCUGUCUACCUCAGGAGGCUCCUGGCAGACACACUGUAUGCUGGAACUGGAACUGACAAGACCAUGAAUGAGCUCCCUUAAAGAUUAUCCUAGUGUCCUGGUGAGGGGCGUGUUUGAUCAAGUAUUCAGGAAUCCAGCAGACUUUAUUCUCAGUAUGAGGGACCAUCAGAGGAGCGAGUUGUCAGGGGGUAAGAUGAUGCCACACAGAUGUAAAUGAUUCACACGCUGUCGACACUUCAACUUAAUACAUGUAAGUUUUGGUUAGCUGACCUUAGUUUUAAUUGGAUUACUGUAUAUAUGUCUGGGAACAAAAGUGAACAUCAU
Long non-coding RNA from Lates calcarifer (barramundi perch), 754 nucleotides. RefSeq lists it as uncharacterized. The record is from RefSeq and is a predicted model, not a curated record. Lineage: Eukaryota; Metazoa; Chordata; Actinopteri; Centropomidae. The transcript has 3 exons.